CAGAGUAAGUGCCCACCUACAAUAAGCAAAACCACAUAAUCUAAGUGAAUGUGUUUAUUGACGCACAUAGAUGUGCUCUGCAGUUCGACUACAGACAAUGGCCUGUGGAAUCUCUGACAUUUGCAGACAGAAAAGGAAGCAAACCUGUCCUGUUCUUGUCACCUCGGCAACACAGUCAAGCAUAGACAUUGACACUUCAGAGACAGCCGUUCAUUUGUCUCUUCCAGUACCCAAAGGUAGAAGGUUUUACUAGGAAAGCAGUACGAGAGGAGCAUAUUUAAACCAAAGCAGAACAGGAGAUUUAUGCUCUCUGCUAUGUGUUCCUCAAGAAGCCUGCGGUAGUAAAAGUCUGAAGGAUUAGAAACACAGCCAGAGUCAAAGAAACCUCCAAGAGGGCACUUUGGUACAGACCUUAAACUUCCCAAUGGAAAUAGAAGAGACAGGAUAGUUUGCUUAUAAAAUACAGGCACUAACUGAAAGUGAUUGGGUCCUGCCACUUAAUAAAUAGCUGUUCAUAUGCUAAGGCUUCAUAAGUGUGUGCAUGCAUGCUCUUAGCCCUUCCUGGCUGUAAGAUUAAAAAAUGUGUUAACUUAAACCACCUUCACAGAACUGAAGCUGGUGCGUGCUGGAUUUCAGCUCAGCCAUGAGCAUGUGUGUGCUCAGUAACAAGUGGUACCUGUUAAAGUGACAUGAAAUGCUUGCAGAUCUCAGAUUAUGCAGUGAUAGGUGUACUGGAAGCUGAAGACACAGAGAACUUCUACUGGGCUAAAAACUGUGUAGCUCUAUUGAUCUGAUGCCAGUGAAGAUUGAGCCUAUUGCACUUAGAGAACAGAUAUCUACUGUGGCUUCUAAAAUUUAAAAAAAAAAGAUCAAAAGAAAUGGAGGUAGCGGUUAUCUUACAGAAGGAAAUGUAGAACAAGAUGUGCGGAUUUGGAGACGAUGUGGAACUGACAACCUGAGAAAUGCCAUCCAUAAAGGAAGGACUUGGUAUCACACAGGGCCUGGAAGCUCCUGAGGAGACUGACACUGAAGAAGAGGAUGGAAGCAGUCAGGACAGCUGCCUGCUGAGGACGCUAGGAAGAAUGUGAAUGAAGCUUGAAGCAAAACAAAUACAAAGAAAGUGAAUGAAGCUUGAAGCAAGACAGGUAUUAAUGAAUGAGCUCUGGCAAGGCAAAAUGAGAGCACCAGUCUGAAUAGAAAGAAGAGGCAGUGAAUCUUCUGUAAGGCUUUUUUUCAUAAAAUAUUGACUAUUUUUAAUUAAAAUAUUAUAAAAUAUUUAGACUAAAAUAUAUAAAAUAUCAUAAAAUAUUGCUCAUUUGGAUGCUGCCCAGCCACCCUCACAAAUGAACACUCUCCAUUGACACACACUUCUGUGCCUCCUACUCAGCUUUCCUCAGGAGGGUCAUGGCAAAAUGAGGCUGAAAAAUAGGAAAUCUACCAUUUUCUAAGCUGAGAAGAGCAGUGCCAGGAUCAAUACAGCAUGAAACAAGCAUUGGACACAGCCUAACCACAGUCUCUAAACCUUCAUUGCAGCUCCUCUUUGUGGUUUUGGAAGGUCUCUGAAAGAGAAGAAACAAUUUCCUUCUUACUGCAAGCAAUGCCCAUCAAAGUUAUUUUAAUGUAGAAAAACAAAAGUGGCAAAGGGGUUCUGAGGCGCAAAUGAUGUGAACCCUCAUUGCAAAUAGGGGUGCAAAUAAGGGAAUUGUUGCUCUUAUCACUGUGGAUUUGGGGUCCUCCUGUGUUCCCAUAGUUCUCAGUGUUCCAUGGGCAAAAAUCCUGUCAAACACUGUGUUUAGUACAAGAGCAAAAAUGGCUCUUUUCCAUCCACAGAAGUUUUGUGUUUUACAUUUCACGUUUUAUGUCAGUUCUGUCUGGGUUUAUCCCACUUGCUGUCCUCAGAAAUCUCUCCCAAGAUCCUGCUGCCCAGUAAUGUGACUAACAAAUCAGAGAUGCACCAUACUUUCUGCUCAAUUUAGGACAGAAAAACAACCCUCACACAAGCAGUAUCUAGGCUAUUGCUGAGAAUGGUGCUGAGCAUUUCAGAUAGAUGUUCAGAAAAGACUAAAAGGCAGCUACAGAAGAGAAUCUUCAUGAAAUACAUUUCCUCCCAAUCCUUCUUACUCAGUGACACAUGAUCUUUUUUUUUUUUUUUUUUUUUUUUGAAGAGGAAAACUGCAGCAUUCUAUGGGGGUUUUUUUGCUUCCACAGAAAUGUGAGUGGUUUUUUGGAAUCUUUGUCACAAAAUGAACUCUUUCAGCAGUAAGAAAUCUUGCAACACUAGGUGACAUGCUUUGUGCCCAUCCUGUUCUUUCUUCCCCGUAACUUUUCAUGGGACCCUGUGGUUAUUCCUGUCACCUACUAACUGUUCUUCAACUCUGAAAUAGUAAAAAAUAAAAUGGAGAUAUGAAAUAAGGAGGAUGCAGCUCCAGAGACCUGGCUAAACAGAGAUAAGUGGGGCAAUGAAGGCUAAUAUGACAGGGCAGCUAGAUUGGAUGAAAGUUAUUUACAGCUUUUUAAGUUUUCCAAGAUUGCAGUGGCCUAUCAAUUUAUGCUGGAAGCAUUGUUUUUAUGCUCCAUAAGUACGUUGCAAAUGUUGCAGUCCAGGGGCUGCUCUUUUUCUGCCACUGACCCUCUCUGUGGCCUUAGCUAAAUCACUUUACCUUGUUGUUACCUUUAAUCAAAUUGUGCCCUUGUAAAGUAUGAUCCCUCUUUAAUGUGUCAGUAUCAUGACAUUGACUUGAUGGGGACUUCUAACAUUCUAACCUAAUUAUUGAUAAUAAAACAUAACUAGCUGAGAAGAAUCAAACCAUUUUCUUAUAGCUUUUACUUAGAAGAUUUUUAUUUUCAUGAAGGUCUGAGAGAUUUCCAUGUUUUGCGGGGUAAUAGAAAUGGAUUGGUAAUGUUAUGUACUGGAAUAUCUCUCAGAAAAAUGUAUACCUACAAGACCCCUUUAGUAUCACUUCAUGCUCCUGUAGUCUGCCAGCCUUACACAAAUCUAGUCCUGUACAAUUUUUUUCCUGCAAAACAAGCUAUUAAAAGAUGGUUUUGCUGCUCCUCUGCAUUAAUAAUUUGUUUGCACACAAAGAUUAC
This is a long non-coding RNA of Passer domesticus (house sparrow), 3090 nucleotides long. RefSeq lists it as uncharacterized. The record is from RefSeq and is a predicted model, not a curated record. Lineage: Eukaryota; Metazoa; Chordata; Aves; Passeriformes; Passeridae. The transcript has 3 exons.